This 478-nucleotide ribosomal RNA is filed under the name uncultured bacterium. Its description in RNAcentral is "partial 16S ribosomal RNA". It matches the Rfam family "Bacterial small subunit ribosomal RNA", at positions 28 to 523 of the family's 1533-position model. The record is from RNAcentral.
GACGAACACUGGCGGCGUGCUUAACACAUGCAAGUCGAACGGUAAGGCCCUUCGGGGUACACGAGUGGCGAACGGGUGAGUAACACGUGGGUGAUCUGCCCUGCACUUCGGGAUAAGCCUGGGAAACUGGGUCUAAUACCGGAUAGGACCACUGCCUGCAUGGGUGGUGGUGGAAAGCUUUUGCGGUGUGGGAUGGGCCCGCGGCCUAUCAGCUUGUUGGUGGGGUGAUGGCCUACCAAGGCGACGACGGGUAGCCGGCCGGAAAGGGUGACCGGCCACACUGGGACUGAGAUACGGCCCAGACUCCUACGGGAGGCAGCAGUGGGGAAUAUUGCACAAUGGGCGCAAGCCUGAUGCAGCGACGCCGCGUGAGGGAUGACGGCCUUCGGGUUGUAAACCUCUUUCAGCACCGACGAAGCGCAAGUGACGGUAGGUGCAGAAGAAGGACCGGCCAACUACGUGCCAGCCGCCGCGGUAA